UCAAUUUGUUGUUGUUUUUCCUCAUACUGAAAUAAAGCACUGAAGCUCAAAAUAGAGGUAGCAGUGUUGUCCCUAAGCUGAAAGCAAGUGAAAAUCACAGUCAUGUGCAGCAGCUACUUUUUCUGAAGUCAGAUACCAUCAGCAAGGUCUAACUAAGGUGGGAAAAGGCAGCUACUCUUAUUGAAGAGUGCCCAGACCCAGACACAACUGUAUCUUGUAGAGAAAGAACUGGAUCAUGAAUGGUGAUGGUGAACAAGAAUAUCCAGCUUUGUUUAGGAAGAAGGGUGAAGAGAGAUAAAGGCACACGGAUCAGAUGAACACUUUUGAGAACCUACGAGCUGUAUCAGUGGCAGUUGCUGUGGUGCUAAAAUAAGUGAAGCAGAAGGGUUCUAUGCCUGGGAAUCAAGUGGCAUCAACAACAAUGGCAACCAGGAUCGCCAAGAAAUGAUUCAGGGAGAAGGGAGCUCUCUCUCCCAAAUAUACAUAUCUCAAUGUGAGAAGAGAGGUGGACAGAGUUGGAGAAACUAGAAUUGCUCCUUCCUACCACUAACCUCUCCCAUCAACAGAUUGUAGCAAGGAGGAAACUGUCCUCAGUUACUGGACCAGCUGUGGACUCAUUGGUCAAAGUGGAUGAGCACAGUUUUUCCUCAGAGAUUUGGAUAUGGCAAGUAAAAAGAAAGCAAUUUUCCCCUCUUGAAUGGCUAACCCUGUAACGUUUGGGAGAUGUUAAUGGGCAUAACUUCCACCAUAGGGCCAAGAUAAGGGGAAUCCACUAGAGAGGAAGAGAAAAGGAUCAAGUGGAGGUUCAGAAAGGUG
This is a long non-coding RNA of Lontra canadensis (Northern American river otter), 816 nucleotides long. RefSeq lists it as uncharacterized. The transcript is spliced from 3 exons. Lineage: Eukaryota; Metazoa; Chordata; Mammalia; Carnivora; Mustelidae. The record is from RefSeq and is a predicted model, not a curated record.